RNAcentral lists this long non-coding RNA (885 nucleotides) under Brassica rapa (field mustard). RNAcentral's name for it is "long non-coding RNA (BRAP_LNC005602)". Lineage: Eukaryota; Viridiplantae; Streptophyta; Magnoliopsida; Brassicales; Brassicaceae. The record is from RNAcentral.
UGUAACUUAGAAACACAGUAUGAUUAUUAUUCUUCUGCUAGAAAUAGAAUAACAUGGUUUUUUAUCUUAACCAUUAAAUUUAAAAAUAAUAAGUUGUAAUGUUUUUAAUAGAAAUACUUUACAAUGUUUAUAAUUUUCAAUUCAAUUAAUUUAAUUUGUUAUAAAAUUUAGACUGGACUUGUUAAUGGGCAAACUAAAUAUUUAUUUUAAUUUUGAAUAAAACUAUCAAAAUGGGCUGUAUUUUGAAUACAAAUUGUUUAUCAAAGCCCGUAUUUUCUAAAUUGGCCCAAGCCCAGUCGAUUGUUUGGUUCAGUUUUCAACAGAGCUCCUUUUUCUGUUUUCAUGUUUCAAAAAACUUUUCGGUAUCACCCAAAAAAGUAAACUCAAAUGGCGAUUGAAGCAGAGGACACAAUUGAUAGAUAGUUGGCUCCAAGGUGUGCUCAUAUCCUGUAUUUUCUCCGUCGUUGAUAGAUAAUUGGCAUCCUAGAUUCUACUUAACCAAUUUCUUCUUUUUUUUUUUUUAAUUUCUUCUGCGUGUGAUGUCCGAUGGCUUAAAAGGAAUGGAUCCGUUGAAAUCAAAACCGAUCUGAGGCAUUCACAGAACAUAUUGGUGUGGACGUUCGAUUUAGUAUUCAACUAAGAAAAAUCUCCAAAGAUGUGGGUUCAGAUUGCCAGUAAAUCGUUUCAUUCCAUUUUUUUAAUCUUUUUUUCUCUUGCAAGGAUCUAUGAAGAUAAUAUUAGGUGUCUUAAUUUUAAAAAUAUGAAUUUUCUGUUAAAAUAUAUUUUUUCCUUUAAAUCUAGUUUUUAUUUUACCACAGAUGUUAGUCCAUGAUCUCACGAAAAAAUCAAAAAACAUGUUAACAUGUCUAAGUAUUUACCUUUUUG